RNAcentral lists this ribosomal RNA (103 nucleotides) under Cedrus deodara (deodar cedar). Its description in RNAcentral is "4.5S ribosomal RNA". Lineage: Eukaryota; Viridiplantae; Streptophyta; Pinopsida; Pinales; Pinaceae. RNAcentral also lists the same sequence under 3060 other names. The record is from RNAcentral.
UAAGGUCACGGCGAGACGAGCCGUUUAUCAUUACGAUAGGUGUCAAGUGGAAGUGCAGUGAUGUAUGCAGCUGAGGCAUCCUAACAGACCGAGAGAUUUGAAC